GCUAAACGCGAAGAACCUUACCCACACUUGACAUACCUCUUGGGGCUUUCAGAGAUGAUCGCUUUCGGUUCGGCCGGGGAGGAUACAGGUGCUGCAUGGCUGUCGUCAGCUCAUGUCGUGAGAUGUUGGGUUAAGUCCCGCAACGAGCGCAACCCUUGUCUUUAGUUGCCAGCGAGUCAUGUCGGGCACUCUAAGGAGACUGCCUCGGAUAACGAGGAGGAAGGUGGGGAUGACGUCAAGUCAGCAUGGCCUUUAUGUCCAGGGCUACACACGUGCUACAAUGGGCGGCACAGAAGGACGCGAGACCGCGAGGUCAAGCCAACCCUUAAAACCGUUCUCAGUUCGGAUUGCAGGCUGCAAUUCGCCUGCAUGAAGUCGGAAUCGCUAGUAAUCGCGGAUCAGCUACGCCGCGGUGAAUACGUUCUCGGGUCUUGUACACACCG
Molecule: ribosomal RNA, 443 nt
Filed under: uncultured bacterium
Lineage: Bacteria
Description: bacterial SSU rRNA
Rfam family: Bacterial small subunit ribosomal RNA
Source: RNAcentral